This 407-nucleotide ribosomal RNA is filed under the name bacterium enrichment culture clone ALO1_GLFRUDD03HCY9Y. RNAcentral describes it as "bacterial SSU rRNA". It matches the Rfam family "Bacterial small subunit ribosomal RNA", at positions 9 to 416 of the family's 1533-position model. The record is from RNAcentral.
GAGUUUGAUCGUGGCUCAGAUUGAACGCUGGCGGCAUGCCUUACACAUGCAAGUCGAACGGCAGCACGGGAGCUUGCUCCUGGUGGCGAGUGGCGAACGGGUGAGUAAUGCAUCGGAACGUAUCCUGGAGUGGGGGAUAACGUAGCGAAAGUUACGCUAAUACCGCAUAUUCUGUGAGCAGGAAAGCGGGGGACCUUCGGGCCUCGCGCUCUUGGAGCGGCCGAUGUCGGAUUAGCUAGUUGGUGAGGUAAAGGCUCACCAAGGCGACGGUCCGUAGCAGGUCUGAGAGGAUGAUCUGCCACACUGGAACUGAGACACGGUCCAGACUCCUACGGGAGGCAGCAGUGGGGAAUUUUGGACAAUGGGGGCAACCCUGAUCCAGCCAUGCCGCGUGAGUGAAGAAGGCC